CGGGGUUGUAAACCUUUUUUCAAGCAGGGAAGGAAGCGAAAAGUGACCGGUACCUGCAGGAAGAAGCGCCGGGCUAACUUACGUGCCAGCAGCCGCGGGUAAUACGUAGGGCGCAAGCGUUGUCCGGAAUUAUUGGGCGUAAAGAGCUCGUAGGCGGCUUGUCACGUCGGGUGUGAAAGACCGGGGCUUAACCCCGGUUCUGCAUUCGAUACGGGCUAGCUAGAGUGUGGUAGGGGAGAUCGGAAUUCCUGGUGUAGCGGUGAAAUGCGCAGAUAUCAGGAGGAACACCGGUGGCGAAGGCGGAUCUCUGGGCCAUUACUGACGCUGAGGAGCGAAAGCGUGGGGAGCGAACAGGAUUAGAUACCCUGGUAGUCCACGCCGUAAACGGUGGGAACUAGGUGUUGGCGACAUUCCACGUCGUCGGUGCCGCAGCUAACGCAUUAAGUUCCCCGCCUGGGGAGUACGGCCGCAAGGCUAAAACUCAAAGGAAUUGACGGGGGCCCGCACAAGCAGCGGAGCAUGUGGCUUAAUUCGACGCAACGCGAAGAACCUUACCAAGGCUUGACAUACACCGGAAACGGCCAGAGAUGGUCGCCCCCUUGUGGUCGGUGUACAGGUGGUGCAUGGCUGUCGUCAGCUCGUGUCGUGAGAUGUUGGGUUAAGUCCCGCAACGAGCGCAACCCUUGUUCUGUGUUGCCAGCAUGCCCUUCGGGGUGAUGGGGACUCACAGGAGACCGCCGGGGUCAACUCGGAGGAAGGUGGGGACGACGUCAAGUCAUCAUGCCCCUUAUGUCUUGGGCUGCACACGUGCUACAAUGGCCGAUACAAUGAGCUGCGAUACCGCAAGGUGGAGCGAAUCUCAAAAAGUCGGUCUCAGUUCGGAUUGGGGUCUGCAACUCGACCCCAUGAAGUUGGAGUUGCUAGUAAUCGCAGAUCAGCAU
RNAcentral lists this ribosomal RNA (941 nucleotides) under Streptomyces cinnabarinus. Its description in RNAcentral is "bacterial SSU rRNA". It matches the Rfam family "Bacterial small subunit ribosomal RNA", at positions 418 to 1355 of the family's 1533-position model. The record is from RNAcentral. Lineage: Bacteria; Bacillati; Actinomycetota; Actinomycetes; Kitasatosporales; Streptomycetaceae.